This 440-nucleotide ribosomal RNA is filed under the name uncultured bacterium. RNAcentral describes it as "bacterial SSU rRNA". It matches the Rfam family "Bacterial small subunit ribosomal RNA", at positions 355 to 787 of the family's 1533-position model. The record is from RNAcentral.
UCGGGAAUUUUGGGCAAUGGGCGAAAGCCUGACCCAGCAACGCCGCGUGAGGGAUGAAGGCCCUCGGGUCGUAAACCUCUGUCGGGAGGGGAGAACGGUUGCCGUUCAAACAGGACGGGAGCCUGACGGUACCUCCAAAGGAAGCACCGGCUAACUCCGUGCCAGCAGCCGCGGUAAUACGGAGGGUGCAAGCGUUGUUCGGAAUCAUUGGGCGUAAAGCGCGUGUAGGCGGCUUGGCAAGUCGGUUGUGAAAGCCCGGGGCCCAACCCCGGAUUGCAUCUGAAACUGCCUCGCUAGAGUCCCGGAGAGGAAGGCAGAAUUCCCGGUGUAGGGGUGAAAUCCGUAGAUAUCGGGAGGAAUACCAGCGGCGAAGGCGGCCUUCUGGACGGUGACUGACGCUGAGACGCGAAAGCGUGGGGAGCAAACAGGAUUAGAUACCC